GGAUGUGAGGGCGAACUGGCUGCAACAUCUGCCACCCCACUGAUCGCCAGCGUUGAUUCGGCUGAUUUGGUUGGCUAGGCGAGUGUCCCCUUCCUCCCUCACCGCUCCACCUGCGUCCCUCCCGAAGUGCGCUCGGUGGAAGAGGACCAUUCCUCUCAGUCAAGGGUAUGCGAGUAGCUGCGUUCCCCUGCUAGAACCUCUAAACAAACCGUCUAAUCCUCUCCAAUCCGCAACACAGCUACGAGAAACUUUUUUAAAAUGUAAAUCUUACUACCUUAUUU
This 281-nucleotide small nuclear RNA is filed under the name Camelus bactrianus (Bactrian camel). RNAcentral's name for it is "7SK RNA". It matches the Rfam family "7SK RNA". From Rfam's summary of the family: 7SK was discovered as an abundant small nuclear RNA in the mid-70s but a possible function has only recently been suggested. Two independent studies have found that 7SK RNA binds the CDK9/cyclin T complex (known as elongation factor P-TEFb). P-TEFb activates transcription by phosphorylating the C-terminal domain of RNA polymerase II. Lineage: Eukaryota; Metazoa; Chordata; Mammalia; Artiodactyla; Camelidae. RNAcentral also lists the same sequence under 1 other name. The record is from Rfam by way of RNAcentral.